This 329-nucleotide ribosomal RNA is filed under the name uncultured bacterium. Its description in RNAcentral is "bacterial SSU rRNA". It matches the Rfam family "Bacterial small subunit ribosomal RNA", at positions 28 to 334 of the family's 1533-position model. The record is from RNAcentral.
GAUGAACGCCGGCGGUGUGCCUAAUACAUGCAGGUCGAACGCUUCUUUCCUCCCGAGUGCUUGCACUCAAUUGGAAAGAGGAGUGGCGGACGGGUGAGUAACACGUGGGUAACCUACCCAUCAGAGGGGGAUAACACUUGGAAACAGGUGCUAAUACCGCAUAACAGUUUAUGCCGCAUGGCAUAAGAGUGAAAGGCGCUUUCGGGUGUCGCUGAUGGAUGGACCCGCGGUGCAUUAGCUAGUUGGUGAGGUAACGGCUCACCAAGGCCACGAUGCAUAGCGGACCUGAGAGGGCGACGGCCAACGACUGGGACUGAGACACGGCCCAG